Teleopsis dalmanni is the source of this 532-nucleotide long non-coding RNA. RefSeq lists it as uncharacterized. The transcript is spliced from 3 exons. The record is from RefSeq and is a predicted model, not a curated record. Lineage: Eukaryota; Metazoa; Arthropoda; Insecta; Diptera; Diopsidae.
UCGGCGAGCCUGAGCUGAUAUUGCCGACAUCCUUUCCACUUUUUAUACCUUUAAUACAAGCAAGAAACAAGAAGUUUAAAGGAAUGGGAAUUCAAGAUGUAUCUGUGAACACGAAACAUUGACGAAACGAAACAAAACACUCUAAACGUUCAAGAGUUCUACUGGUGGUGCAGAGGGUCGUUUUACAUAAUCCUGCCAAUUAGAGGUGUCGGAUUCUGCAGCACAAUGCAACGAUACUGUUUGAAAGUAACUCCUUGUUUUGUCCAGGUGUGUUUUUGUCACCACCUCAUAAACAUCGUGCAAUGCCUAAGCGGCAGGCAGAGAGAAUUACAAAAAACUCAUUUCCGAAGAAAAUUUAUUAAAUUUGAGACCAAAACGAAUGUACGAAUUUCGCUAAAUUGGGGUAAUUUGCUAUUGAAAAGUGCAAUACUGAUUACAACUAAAUCAAAUGAAUGUUGUUCUUUCAUUUUUGAUAUUUACACUUACUUUUUAUCAAUGGUAGAUCUGACAUAAAUGCGACGUUGUCAUCCAU